CCACACAACCCUGGCCUGGAGGAAACAGCCUGGCAAGCUUAAGCCUAAGCGGGCGCCAGCAGAGCCACCCAGGUGUCGCUGCCGAAGGGAGCCCAGGAAAGGAUGGGAGCAGAGAGAAGGAAGCCCUGAGCCAGUCUCAGAAAGUGCUCAGGGAAAAUCUUCUGGAGAUGGCCACACUUCAACUGAGUUCUGGAGAUGCGGUUCCAGUUGAGCCUUAGUUCUGGAGUUGCCUUACAUAUUCCCCUCAUUUGCAAAUAAGCAAAUUGAACACCAGCAUUUGCCUCAGACUCCUCCAAGAAUUCCAUUAACACAUCAGCAAAAACAACUUUUAAGACAUUAACCCAUAAAAUAAAGACAAUAAGAGUUCGAACUCUAAGUUCCACAGCAAGAACUUUGGAAGUUAGAAAGCAGAAAAACAGCUAGUUGCUGACUUAGCAGCCAGAAAAGUCAUGUCUAAAUCACCUGUGAACAAAAGAUUUUACAAUUUUACAAAGCUCUCAAGAAUUGGCUAAUCCAGUGCCUCCAAAAGUUGGAGUACAGAGAGGGCUGGAAGCUGAAGGGGUCUCCAAAAGGCUGUCUGAGAGGUAUCAAAGCCCUCAUUUCCACUACCCUGCAAGGCAGGGAAACCCCUCAUCAACCUCAAGAGGAGACUGGAAUUUUAUUUUCUGAAGAGAUAAAGACAGAGUUUCUGAAUUGAAGGACAUGAGUCAAAAUAGAUCAUGAGGAGACCACACAGAAAACAGGAAAUAAAGGCAAUUUUAUGUGCUGCAUAUUGAGACUGCCCCAGCCUCUUCACCUGCAGAGGGCAGGUAGACAGAUCUGUAGCUCUCAGGUAGAUUCAAGGACUAUUCUCUGGGAAAUCUGAUCAGCC
Cercocebus atys (sooty mangabey) is the source of this 871-nucleotide long non-coding RNA. RefSeq lists it as uncharacterized. The transcript has 3 exons. The record is from RefSeq and is a predicted model, not a curated record. Lineage: Eukaryota; Metazoa; Chordata; Mammalia; Primates; Cercopithecidae.